GGUGUCAUUGGCAGCUACUUGUGAUCUCCAUACCGGAGAACAUUGCUGUCUGGUUUUGUUCAUUGCAGAAGUCUCCUCCCAGCCCUCUUAGACAUGUAGUAGAUUGUUCCCUUGCAACACAUAUGAUGUUAUCUGGGAGAUCUACUGCUACAGCUAAAAAGCUUGCAUGGGUUGCCCUUAAGUGUAAUAUACAAACGGGGUCAUAUGAAUGUGGUUACUACGUCAUGUUUUGGAUGAUGACCAUUAUUCGUGCACAUUACACCAGUGGAUGGGAAACGGUAUUAUUUAGGUUUCAAUUUUAUUUUCCCUAUAGUUUAGAUUUCAAAUACACUAAGUUAAAUCAUUGUAUUUUAUGCAGAGAUUCAAUAGGACUGCUCCAAUUCCAGAGAAGUCACUUCAACUUGUGAGGA
Long non-coding RNA from Vigna angularis (adzuki bean), 410 nucleotides. RefSeq lists it as uncharacterized. Lineage: Eukaryota; Viridiplantae; Streptophyta; Magnoliopsida; Fabales; Fabaceae. The record is from RefSeq and is a predicted model, not a curated record. The transcript is spliced from 3 exons.